CCAGAAAUCUAUGCAUAUAUUACGUACAUGUUCACAAAAAUACUUAAAGAAAGAUGUCUUUAUUUCCCAGUAAGGAAACUGAGGCCAGGAACACUCCAAAGGCAGAUUGUGGCCUUAGACUGGAACCAGGAGCCCUGUAUGGGCUCUGCUACUUUCCGCAGUAAGCUGGACCCAACUCCUGAGCUGUGGCAGGAAUGGCUGGUCGAAGUGGCAGUACCACUGAAAGGGGGCAUCUGUCUGGACUGGAAUGGCCCGGUCUGCAAGAGCACCCAGCUGAGAUGUGCAACAAACGUUUGUUGAAGCAGGAGCUGGCAGCCUCCUGAGCUCCUGCUAAUGCUAUUAAAUGAAAAGUGAUAAACCAAGUGCCUGCAUUUCCGGUGGCUCCCCAACAGACAAAACAGAGCCAGUUUUCCAGAGAAGCCUCAGCUCAGGACACAACUCAGGGUGGCCUCCUGAUGGACAGUCCAGCAUGCGGAUGAUAUGAGGUCUGUCUAUGCUUCUGGCCAGCAUCUGAGGGUUCUUCCCGUGUAUCUGACACGGAGUAAUCCCGAUAAGAUCACGUGCAACUCCUACCCCAUCCCACCAUGAUCUCCCCCAACUUCUAACCCUUUGGCCCUGAUUCCUUGGUCUGUAUAUCAUUGGAU
Long non-coding RNA from Phyllostomus discolor (pale spear-nosed bat), 644 nucleotides. RefSeq lists it as uncharacterized. The record is from RefSeq and is a predicted model, not a curated record. The transcript is spliced from 2 exons. NCBI's taxonomy places the organism in Eukaryota, Metazoa, Chordata, Mammalia, Chiroptera, Phyllostomidae.